UGGGGGAUAUUGGACAAUGGGGGGAAACCCUGAUCCAGCGAUGCCGCGUGAGGGAAGAAGGUUUUCGGAUUGUAAACCUCUGUGAAAGGGGACGAUAAUGACGGUACCCUUUUAGAAAGCCACGGCUAACUACGUGCCAGCAGCCGCGGUAAUACGUAGGUGGCGAGCGUUGUCCGGAAUUACUGGGUGUAAAGGGAGUGUAGGCGGGAGAGCAAGUCAGAAGUGAAAAUUAUGGGCUUAACCCAUAACCUGCUUUUGAAACUGUUCUUCUUGAGUGAAGUAGAGGCAAGCGGAAUUCCUAGUGUAGCGGUGAAAUGCGUAGAUAUUAGGAGGAACACCAGUGGCGAAGGCGGCUUGCUGGGCUUUUACUGACGCUGAGGCUCGAAAGCGUGGGGAGCAAACAGGAUUAGAUACCCU
This 417-nucleotide ribosomal RNA is filed under the name uncultured Clostridium sp. RNAcentral describes it as "bacterial SSU rRNA". It matches the Rfam family "Bacterial small subunit ribosomal RNA", at positions 355 to 788 of the family's 1533-position model. Lineage: Bacteria; Bacillati; Bacillota; Clostridia; Eubacteriales; Clostridiaceae. The record is from RNAcentral.